RNAcentral lists this ribosomal RNA (293 nucleotides) under uncultured bacterium. Its description in RNAcentral is "partial 16S ribosomal RNA". It matches the Rfam family "Archaeal small subunit ribosomal RNA", at positions 455 to 747 of the family's 1478-position model. The record is from RNAcentral.
GUGCCAGCCGCCGCGGUAAUACCGGCAGCCCGAGUGAUGGCCGAUAUUAUUGGGCCUAAAGCGUCCGUAGCUGGCCAGACAAGUCCGUUGGGAAAUCCACGCGCUCAACGAGUGGGCGUCCGACGGAAACUGCACAGCUUGGGACCGGAAGGCUCGAAGGGUACGUUCGGGGUAGGAGUGAAAUCCCAUAAUCCCGCACGGACCACCGAUGGCGAAAGCACUUCGAGAAAACGGAUCCGACAGUGAGGGACGAAAGCUGGGAUCUCGAACCGGAUUAGAAACCCGAGUAGUCC